UUUUUCCCGCUAACUUCACACGUUGAGCUUUUUUCCUGCUGAGUUCACGUUUAUAAACAAAAAUUGAAUUUAAAUAGUUUUCAGCGUAAAAAUCGUGCGUUGAAAGAAAUUAGUAUAUAUAAUUUAUCUACUAUUUAUAACAGGUUCCAGAUACCCGAGAUAUCCAGAACAAUGAUGGGUGAUAAUUUUUAAUCGUAGGAGAAAGCAGUCAACGAUGAGUCUUCAUGGGCAAUACGAGCGUUGGCAAACGCGUCACUAUUUUACUUCUUAUUGCUUAAAUAAAGUCUCGACUGAGGAUGAGCCUGCUUCACAGAAAUUUCAAAAGUUCAUCCAGCACAAACUACCUCGCAAGCAACCACGAAAAUUGGAUGCAGUUGUACUACGAAACACAAAGGAAACUUGGAGGAUAACGUGCCUCUGGAGUCGGCCAUCUGAUACGUUAAUGGCACUCUGAAUGUAUGGUAGUAGAGCAGAAAGACCCCAAUGAAGCGUAAAGGCUAAUAAGGACAGCGAUAAACUGAAUAAUUUAACAAAACGGCUGGACGUAAAAUGGAGGCAGAAAAGAUAUAAACAAUAGUUGCGCUGUAUGGUGAACAUGGAAAGCAAAAACAUCAGCUCAGGCCAAUUUGCCAAUAAACAGAUCACAAGCGGCGUGCGCGUUUCAUUGCCCCGCGCGAAUGUGAUUUGAGCAGGAAAAAAAUGUUCUGGACGGCUGCCAUAUGUGCGCCUCACUCAAAAUGCUCAAAAUAAUCAGAUCCUUUUAUAAGUUUGGAGUUUUAAUCAUUGCAACUAUUGGAACCACUAAACACUUUGUUUAAACACUCACUAAACUAAAUAGUUUUGAGAUUCAACAGAGAAUUCUUCUAUACGAAUGUAUUGUAGAACCACAUUUUGUAUUCGCAGCAUUGCAACUGAUAGAAUUACCAAAAGCUUCGUUUAAUUUUAAAUUUAUCAGUUAACACUUCUUUACAAAUGAUACCUAGAAGAAAUAAGUUUUAUAUUCAGUUUUAAUGAAUUUAUUUUACAUUUCAGAUCACAAGCGGCGUGCGCGUUUCAUUGCCCCGCGCGAAUGUGAUUUGAGCAGGAAAAAAAUGUUCUAGGCGACUGCCAUACGUGCGCAUCACUCAAAAUGCUCAAAAUAAUCAGAUCCUUUUAUAAGUUUGGAGUUUUAAUCAUUGCAACUAUUGGAACCACUAAACACUUUGUUAAAACUCUCACAAAACUAAAUAGUUUAAAAAUUUCACAAAAAAAUCUAUCUCACGAAUGUCUCAUAUAACAACAAUUUGCAUUCGCAGCAUUGCAACUGAUAGAAUUACCAAAAGCUUCGUUUAAUUUUAAAUUUAUCAGUUAACACUUCUUUACAAAUGAUACCUAGACCAAAAAAGGUUUUAUAUUCAGUUUUAAUGAAUUCAUUUUACAUUUCAGAUCACAAGCGGCGUGCGCGUUUCAUUGCCCCGCGCGAAUGUGAUUUGAGCAGGAAAAAAUUGUUCUAGGCGGCUGCCAUAUGUGCGCAUCAUUCAAAAUGCUCAAAAUAAUCAGAUCCUUUUAUAAGUUUGGAGUUUUAAUCAUUGCAACUAUUGGAACCACUAAACACUUUGUUUAAACUCUCACAAAACUAAAUAGUUUAAAAAUUUCACAAAAAAUCUAUCUCACGAAUGCCUCAUAUAACAACAAUUUGUAUUCGCAGCAUUGCAACUGAUAGAAUUACCAAAAGCUUCGUUUAAUUUAAAAUUUAUCAGUUAACACUUCUUUACAAAUGAUACCUAGAAGAAAUAAGUUUUAUAUUCAGUUUUAAUGAAUUCAUUUUACAUUUCAGAUCACAAGCGGCGUGCGCGUUUCAUUGCCCCGCGCGAAUGUGAUUUGAGCAGGAAAAAAUUGUUCUAGGCGGCUGCCAUAUGUGCGCAUCACUCAAAAUGCUCAAAAUAAUCAGAUCCUUUUAUAAGUUUGGAGUUUUAAUCAUUGCAACUAUUGGAACCACUAAACACUUUGUUUAAACACUCACUAAACUAAAUAGUUUUAAAAUUCAACAGAGAAUUCUUCUAUACGAAUGUAUUGUAGAACCACAUUUUGUAUUCGCACCAUUGCAACUGAUAGAAUCGCCAAAAGCUUCGUUUAAUUUUAAAUUUAUCAGUUAACACUCCUUUAUAAAUGAUACGUAGACCAAAAAAGGUUUUAUAUUCAGUUUUAAUGAAUUCAUUUUACAUUUCAGAUCACAAGCGGCGUGCGCGUUUCAUUGCCCCGCGCGAAUGUGAUUUGAGCAGGAAAAAAAUGUUCUAGGCGGCUGCCAUAUGUGCGCAUCACUCAAAAUGCUCAAAAUAGUCAGAUCCUUUUAUAAGUUUGGAGUUUUAAUCAUUGCAACUAUUGGAACCACUAAACACUUUGUUUAAACACUCACUAAACUAAAUAGUUUUAAAAUUCAACAGAGAAUUCUUCUAUACGAAUGUAUUGUAGAACCACAUUUUGUAUUCGCACCAUUGCAACUGAUAGAAUCGCCAAAAGCUUCGUUUAAUUUUAAAUUUAUCAGUUAACACUUCUUUACAAAUGAUACCUAGACCAAAAAAGGUUUUAUAUUCAGUUUUAAUGAAUUCAUUUUACAUUUCAGAUCACAAGCGGCGUGCGCGUUUCAUUGCCCCGCGCGAAUGUGAUUUGAGCAGGAAAAAAAUGUUCUAGGCGACUGCCAUACGUGCGCAUCACUCAAAAUGCUCAAAAUAAUCAGAUCCUUUUAUAAGUUUGGAGUUUUAAUCAUUGCAACUAUUGGAACCACUAAACACUUUGUUAAAACUCUCACAAAACUAAAUAGUUUCAAAAUUUCACAAAAAAAUCUAUCUCACGAAUGUCUCAUAUAACAACAAUUUGCAUUCGCAGCAUUGCAACUGAUAGAAUUACCAAAAGCUUCGUUUAAUUUGAAAUUUAUCAGUUAACACUUCUUUACAAAUGAUACCUAGAAGAAAUAAGUUUUAUAUUCAGUUUUAAUGAAUUUAUUUUACAUUUCAGAUCACAAGCGGCGUGCGCGUUUCAUUGCCCCGCGCGAAUGUGAUUUGAGCAGGAAAAAAAUGUUCUAGGCGACUGCCAUACGUGCGCAUCACUCAAAAUGCUCAAAAUAAUCAGAUCCUUUUAUAAGUUUGGAGUUUUAAUCAUUGCAACUAUUGGAACCACUAAACACUUUGUUAAAACUCUCACAAAACUAAAUAGUUUAAAAAUUUCACAAAAAAAUCUAUCUCACGAAUGUCUCAUAUAACAACAAUUUGCAUUCGCAGCAUUGCAACUGAUAGAAUUACCAAAAGCUUCGUUUAAUUUUAAAUUUAUCAGUUAACACUUCUUUACAAAUGAUACCUAGACCAAAAAAGGUUUUAUAUUCAGUUUUAAUGAAUUCAUUUUACAUUUCAGAUCACAAGCGGCGUGCGCGUUUCAUUGCCCCGCGCGAAUGUGAUUUGAGCAGGAAAAAAAUGUUCUAGGCGACUGCCAUAUGUGCGCAUCACUCAAAAUGCUCAAAAUAGUCAGAUCCUUUUAUUAGUUUGGAGUUUUAAUCAUUGCAACUAUUGGAACCACUAAACACUUUGUUUAAACGCUCACUAAACUAAAUAGUUUUAAAAUUCAACAGAGAAUUCUUCUAUACGAAUGUAUUGUAGAACCACAUUUUGUAUUCGCACCAUUGCAACUGAUAGAAUCACCAAAAGCUUCGUUUAAUUUUAAAUUUAUCAGUUAACACUUCUUUACAAAUGAUACCUAGAAGAAAUAAGUUUUAUAUUCAGUUUUAAUGAAUUCAUUUUACAUUUCAGAUCACAAGCGGCGUGCGCGUUUCAUUGCCCCGCGCGAAUGUGAUUUGAGCAGGAAAAAAUUGUUCUAGGCGGCUGCCAUAUGUGCGCAUCACUCAAAAUGCUCAAAAUAAUCAGAUCCUUUUAUAAGUUUGGAGUUUUAAUCAUUGCAACUAUUGAAACCACUAAACACUUUGUUUAAACUCUCACAAAACUAAAUAGUUUAAAAAUUUCACAAAAAAUCUAUCUCACGAAUGCCUCAUAUAACAACAAUUUGUAUUCGCAGCAUUGCAACUGAUAGAAUUACCAAAAGCUUCGUUUAAUUUGAAAUUUAUCAGUUAACACUUCUUUACAAAUGAUACCUAGAAGAAAUAAGUUUUAUAUUCAGUUUUAAUGAAUUUAUUUUACAUUUCAGAUCACAUGCGGCGUGCCCGUUUCAUUGCCCCACGCGAAUGUGAUUUGAGCAGGAAAAAAAUGUUCUGGACGGCUGCAAGGUGUGCGCCUCAUUCAAAAUUGCCAAAUCGCUUUAUAAGUUUGGAGCUUUAAUCAUUGCAACUAAUGGAACCACUAAACAAUUUAUUUAAACAUUCAUGAAACAAAAUUAACUGAAAAUUCAGUAGAAAAAUCUUCUUUACGACUGCCUCGUAGAGCAACAUUUUGAUUUCGCACCUUUGUAACUGAUAGAAACACUAAAAGCUUCGUUUAAAUUCAAAUUCAGUAGUAAAACACUUCUUCAAAAAUGAUACUUAGAACAAAUAAGCUUUAUAUUCAGUUUUAAUGAAUUCAUUUUAAAUUUCAGAUUACAAGCGGCGUGCGCGUUUCAUUGCCUCGCGCCAAUGUGAUUUGAGCAGGAAAAAAAUGUUCUGGACGGCUGCAAGGUGUGCGCCUCAUUCAAAAUUGCCAAAUCGCUUUAUAAGUUUGGAGCUUUAAUCAUUGCAACUAAUGGAACCACUAAACAAUUUAUUUAAACAUUCAUGAAACAAAAUUAACUGAAAAUUCAGUAGAAAAAUCUUCUUUACGACUGCCUCGUAGAGCAACAUUUUGAUUUCGCACCUUUGUAACUGAUAGAAACACUAAAAGCUUCGUUUAAAUUCAAAUUCAGUAGUAAAACACUUCUUCAAAAAUGAUACUUAGAACAAAUAAGCUUUAUAUUCAGUUUUAAUGAAUUCAUUUUAAAUUUCAGAUUACAAGCGGCGUGCGCGUUUCAUUGCCUCGCGCCAAUGUGAUUUGAGCAGGAAAAAAAUGUUCUGGACGGCUGCAAGGUGUGCGCCUCAUUCAAAAUUGCCAAAUCGCUUUAUAAGUUUGGAGCUUUAAUCAUUGCAACUAAUAGAACCACUAAACAAUUUAUUUAAACAUUCACUAAAAAAAUUAAUUGAAAAUUCAGUAGAAAAAUCUUCUUUACGAGUGCCUUGUAGAGCAACAUUUUGAUUUCGCACCAUUGUAACUGAUAGAAACACUAAAAGCUUCGUUUAAAUUCAAAUUCAGUAGUAAAACACUUCUUCAAAAAUGAUACUUAGAACAAAUAAGCUUUAUAUUCAGUUUUAAUGAAUUCAUUUUAAAUUUCAGAUUACAAGCGGCGUGCGCGUUUCAUUGCCUCGCGCCAAUGUGAUUUGAGCAGGAAAAAAAUGUUCUGGACGGCUGCAAGGUGUGCGCCUCAUUCAAAAUUGCCAAAUCGCUUUAUAAGUUUGGAGCUUUAAUCAUUGCAACUAAUAGAACCACUAAACAAUUUAUUUAAACAUUCACUAAAAAAAUUAAUUGAAAAUUCAGUAGAAAAAUCUUCUUUACGAGUGCCUUGUAGAGCAACAUUUUGAUUUCGCACCAUUGUAACUGAUAGAAACACUAAAAGCUUCGUUUAAAUUCAAAUUCAGUAGUAAAACACUUCUUCAAAAAUGAUACUUAGA
This is a long non-coding RNA of Aedes albopictus (Asian tiger mosquito), 5656 nucleotides long. RefSeq lists it as uncharacterized. Lineage: Eukaryota; Metazoa; Arthropoda; Insecta; Diptera; Culicidae. The record is from RefSeq and is a predicted model, not a curated record. The transcript is spliced from 4 exons.